RNAcentral lists this ribosomal RNA (343 nucleotides) under uncultured fungus. RNAcentral describes it as "SSU rRNA". It matches the Rfam family "Eukaryotic small subunit ribosomal RNA", at positions 292 to 636 of the family's 1831-position model. The record is from RNAcentral. Lineage: Eukaryota; Fungi.
GCUUCAUUCAAAUAUCUGCCCUAUCAACUUUCGAUGGUAGGAUAGUGGCCUACCAUGGUUUUGACGGGUAACGGGGAAUAAGGGUUCGACUCCGGAGAGGGAGCCUGAGAAACGGUACCACAUCCAAGGAAGGCAGCAGGCGCGCAAAUUACCCAAUCCCGACCGGGGAGGUAGUGACAAUAAAUAACAAUAUAGGGCUCUUUUGGGUCUUAUAAUUGGAAUGAGUACAAUUUAAACCCCUUAACGAGGAACAAUUGGAGGGCAAGUCUGGUGCCAGCAGCCGCGGUAAUUCCAGCUCCAAUAGCGUAUAUUAAAGUUGUAGCAGUUAAAAAGCUCGUAGUUG